Molecule: ribosomal RNA, 253 nt
Filed under: uncultured bacterium
Lineage: Bacteria
Description: partial 16S ribosomal RNA
Rfam family: Bacterial small subunit ribosomal RNA
Source: RNAcentral
UACGUAGGGUGCAAGCGUUGUCCGGAAUUACUGGGCGUAAAGCGUGCGUAGACGGCUAUCUAAGUCGGGUGUGAAAGCCCAGGGCUCAACCUGGGAAUUGCAUUCGAGACUGAAUAGCUAGGGUGCGGUAGAGGGAAGCGGAAUUUCCGGUGUAGCGGUGAAAUGCGUAGAUAUCGGAAGGAACAUCAGUGGCGAAAGCGGCUUCCUGGACCAGCACCGACGUUCAGGCACGAAAGCGUGGGGAGCAAACAGG